CAUGCCAUUUGUGUGUUGGAUUCAGAUGUGUCACUUUAAAAUUAAUCUAAAAUGCAUACGGUACUUAAAGAAUCCAUAUGCAUUUUAGAUCAAAUUUAAAGUGAUGCAUCUGAAUCCAACACACAAAUGGCAU
Non-coding RNA from Podarcis lilfordi (Lilford's wall lizard), 133 nucleotides. NCBI's taxonomy places the organism in Eukaryota, Metazoa, Chordata, Lepidosauria, Squamata, Lacertidae. The record is from the annotation of a GenBank genome assembly.